RNAcentral lists this ribosomal RNA (456 nucleotides) under Gemella morbillorum. Its description in RNAcentral is "bacterial SSU rRNA". It matches the Rfam family "Bacterial small subunit ribosomal RNA", at positions 38 to 474 of the family's 1533-position model. Lineage: Bacteria; Bacillati; Bacillota; Bacilli; Caryophanales; Gemellaceae. The record is from RNAcentral.
GGCGGCGUGCCUAAUACAUGCAAGUCGAGCGAAGUUUUUCUGGUGCUUGCACUAGAAAAACUUAGCGGCGAACGGGUGAGUAACACGUAAAGAACCUGCCUCAUAGACUGGGACAACUAUUGGAAACGAUAGCUAAUACCGGAUAACAGUAUUUCUCGCAUGGGAGAUAUUUAAAAGUUGGUUAUGCUAACACUAUGAGAUGGCUUUGCGGUGCAUUAGCUAGUUGGUGGGGUAAAGGCCCACCAAGGCGACGAUGCAUAGCCGACCUGAGAGGGUGAUCGGCCACACUGGGACUGAGACACGGCCCAGACUCCUACGGGAGGCAGCAGUAGGGAAUCUUCCGCAAUGGGCGAAAGCCUGACGGAGCAACGCCGCGUGAGUGAAGAAGGAUUUCGGUUCGUAAAGCUCUGUUGUUAGGGAAGAAUGGAUAUGUAGUAACUAUACAUAUAAGAGACG